This 255-nucleotide ribosomal RNA is filed under the name uncultured bacterium. Its description in RNAcentral is "partial 16S ribosomal RNA". It matches the Rfam family "Bacterial small subunit ribosomal RNA", at positions 524 to 778 of the family's 1533-position model. The record is from RNAcentral.
UACAGAGGGUGCAAGCGUUGUUCGGAAUUAUUGGGCGUAAAGCGCGUGUAGGCGGCUUUGCAAGUCGGGUGUGAAAGCCCUCGGCUCAACCGAGGAAGUGCGCCCGAAACUGCAGAGCUUGAGUACCGGAGAGGAUGGCGGAAUUCCCCAAGUAGAGGUGGAAUUCGUAGAUAUGGGGAGGAACACCGGUGGCGAAGGCGGCCAUCUGGACGGAUACUGACGCUGAGACGCGAAAGCGUGGGUAGCAAACGAGGA